Molecule: long non-coding RNA, 129 nt
Organism: Thalassophryne amazonica
Lineage: Eukaryota; Metazoa; Chordata; Actinopteri; Batrachoidiformes; Batrachoididae
Exons: 3
Source: RefSeq, a predicted model, not a curated record
AGAUAACGUUGCUGUAAAUGGACAAGGAGCUAAAGCUGACUGUGGACCAUCUGGAGUACCAAAUGGGCAAUGGAUAAAAAUACCAAGACCUGGGUAUGCAGCAGGUGGCUACACUCCACUUGGACACAG